ACGACCUUAUCUAUUCUAUAGGCUCGUACUACUGUAUCCUUGAGUUCUAAGGAGACAGAAAAUCAAGUCUAGUUGAUGACGCAUGACUAUUGGACCAGAGCGUGAUCAACAGCUCCCACGACCCUCGGGUCAUGGUGCCGUAGAAGAUCUUUCUCAACUAGGAUUGUGUAUUUAGAUCAGAUA
RNAcentral lists this small nucleolar RNA (183 nucleotides) under Nicotiana attenuata. RNAcentral describes it as "snoRNA Plant_U3". It matches the Rfam family "Plant small nucleolar RNA U3", at positions 1 to 198 of the family's 221-position model. From Rfam's summary of the family: Small nucleolar RNAs (snoRNAs) are involved in the processing and modification of rRNA in the nucleolus. There are two main classes of snoRNAs: the box C/D class, and the box H/ACA class. U3 snoRNA is a member of the box C/D class. The record is from Rfam by way of RNAcentral. Lineage: Eukaryota; Viridiplantae; Streptophyta; Magnoliopsida; Solanales; Solanaceae.